This 400-nucleotide ribosomal RNA is filed under the name Enterococcus faecium. RNAcentral's name for it is "bacterial SSU rRNA". It matches the Rfam family "Bacterial small subunit ribosomal RNA", at positions 72 to 465 of the family's 1533-position model. The record is from RNAcentral. Lineage: Bacteria; Bacillati; Bacillota; Bacilli; Lactobacillales; Enterococcaceae.
UUGCUCCACCGGAAAAAGAGGAGUGGCGAACGGGUGAGUAACACGUGGGUAACCUGCCCAUCAGAAGGGGAUAACACUUGGAAACAGGUGCUAAUACCGUAUAACAAUCGAAACCGCAUGGUUUUGAUUUGAAAGGCGCUUUCGGGUGUCGCUGAUGGAUGGACCCGCGGUGCAUUAGCUAGUUGGUGAGGUAACGGCUCACCAAGGCCACGAUGCAUAGCCGACCUGAGAGGGUGAUCGGCCACAUUGGGACUGAGACACGGCCCAAACUCCUACGGGAGGCAGCAGUAGGGAAUCUUCGGCGAUGGACGAAAGUCUGACCGAGCAACGCCGCGUGAGUGAAGAAGGUUUUCGGAUCAUAAAACUCUGUUGUUAGAGAACAACAAGGAUGAUAGUAACU